RNAcentral lists this ribosomal RNA (491 nucleotides) under uncultured bacterium. RNAcentral describes it as "partial 16S ribosomal RNA". It matches the Rfam family "Bacterial small subunit ribosomal RNA", at positions 29 to 506 of the family's 1533-position model. The record is from RNAcentral.
AGUGAACGCUGGCGGUAGGCCUAACACAUGCAAGUCGAACGGCAGCACAGUAAGAGCUUGCUCUUACGGGUGGCGAGUGGCGGACGGGUGAGGAAUACAUCGGAAUCUACUUUUUCGUGGGGGAUCACGUAGGGAAACUUACGCUAAUACCGCAUACGACCUACGGGUGAAAGCAGGGGAUCUUCGGACCUUGCGCGAUUGAAUGAGCCGAUGUCGGAUUAGCUAGUUGGCGGGGUAAAGGCCCACCAAGGCGACGAUCCGUAGCUGGUCUGAGAGGAUGAUCGGCCACACGAGAACUGAGACACCGACCAGGCGCCUACGGGAGGCAGCAGUGGGGAAUAUUAGACAAUGGGCGCAAGCCUGAUCCAGCCAGACCGCGUGGGUGAAGAAGGCCUUCGGGUUGUAAAGCCCUUUUGUUGGGAAAGAAAAGCAGCAGGUUAAUACCCCGCUGUUCUGACGGUACCCAAAGAAGAAGCACCGGCUAACUACGU